Molecule: long non-coding RNA, 345 nt
Filed under: Setaria viridis
Lineage: Eukaryota; Viridiplantae; Streptophyta; Magnoliopsida; Poales; Poaceae
Description: long non-coding RNA (SVIR_LNC000778)
Source: RNAcentral
GCGACGUGGACGCCCAUGUCGGCAUGCCGCCGUGGCGCUGCUCCGUGUCCCUGGGGCCUGGGCAGCGGCAGCCCAUCAACGACGAGGGGUCCCUACCCACCCUCUCACCGACGAGGCAGACAGAGGAGGGAGAGCCGGAGAGGCCCACUUCAUCCGGGGCCCGCGAGGCGGGCAGGCGGCCUCCCCCGGGGCGAGCACGUGGCCGGACAGCUGGCGCUGGGCGAUCUGUUCCGCGGACCCUACCUGAUCCUGCUUGGAAAAUGGCCUCUCUCGGCCGGCUCUCGCGAGCUGACGUACUAUUUGCCGCCGGUAAACGUGGCGCUGCUGUUCUGGUCUGGAGACGGA